Long non-coding RNA from Salvia miltiorrhiza (redroot sage), 599 nucleotides. RefSeq lists it as uncharacterized. Lineage: Eukaryota; Viridiplantae; Streptophyta; Magnoliopsida; Lamiales; Lamiaceae. The record is from RefSeq and is a predicted model, not a curated record. The transcript is spliced from 3 exons.
CUCUGCACGUAUAUAGAUAUAUCAUCUCCAAAAUCAGAUUUCUCUUCAUCUUCUUUUCUGAUUCAGCUUCUAUUUCUCUAUAUCUUUACAUAAAGCUUUAGAAUACUGUGAUUUUCUAUGUGAUUCAGGACUGCGGAAAACCAAUCUAUUUAGCCGAUACACGCUAUCCACACAAAAUUUCAGAUCUAAAUUUUACUGCGGACAUUCAACCAGAUCCAAGAAGAACAAAAUACAGAAGAAGAAAACGGUGAAGUACGACCUGAAAAUUGCAAAAGAAAAUGGAGAAGAAGAAAAUGAAGAAAAAAAAAGUGAAUUGUAGAAAAAAGGCGCCGAGAUUUGCAAAUAAAAAUGGAGAAAAACCAGCUAUGACAAAAGUCACUCUUUAAACUUCAGUUGGCUGCUGUUGUUCGAUCGGAGAAGGUGGACGGCAAGAAUGACGAUGAAUAGCCUCCGAUUUGAAGGAGGAAGUGACACAUGGAUAAAGGAUCUAAGUUUUGGCGUGAUUUGAGAGAAGAGAGAGACGAUGGAGGCGAGAUGUACAAGAGGGGGAGAAAGAGAAAGGCGUAUGGACUAUGGAGGGCGUAUCAGAGGAAGAGAGA